CAGUAGCCGCGGUAAUACGGAGGGUGCAAGCGUUAAUCGGAAUUACUGGGCGUAAAGCGUACGCAGGCGGUUUGUUAAGUCAGAUGUGAAAUCCCCGAGCUUAACUCGGGAACUGCAUUUGAAACUGGCAGGCUAGAGUCUCGUAGAGGGGGGUAGAAUUCCAGGUGUAGCGGUGAAAUGCGUAGAGAUCUGGAGGAAUACCGGUGGCGAAGGCGGCCCCCUGGACAAAGACUGACGCUCAGGUGCGAAAGCGUGGGGAGCAAACAGGAUUAGAUACCCGUGUAGUCCCUGUCUCUUAUAA
RNAcentral lists this ribosomal RNA (301 nucleotides) under uncultured bacterium. RNAcentral describes it as "partial 16S ribosomal RNA". It matches the Rfam family "Bacterial small subunit ribosomal RNA", at positions 509 to 809 of the family's 1533-position model. The record is from RNAcentral.